RNAcentral lists this ribosomal RNA (460 nucleotides) under uncultured bacterium. Its description in RNAcentral is "partial 16S ribosomal RNA". It matches the Rfam family "Bacterial small subunit ribosomal RNA", at positions 338 to 795 of the family's 1533-position model. The record is from RNAcentral.
CCUACGGGAGGCUGCAGUGAGGAAUAUUGGUCAAUGGGCUAGAGCCUGAACCAGCCAAGUCGCGUGAAGGAUGACUGCUCUAUGGUUUGUAAACUUCUUUUGUCUGGGAGCAAAGUCGGGCACGUGUACCUUUUUUUAUAUUCCCUUUAAAUAAGCCUUGGGUAACCCCUGUCCACGCGCCGCGGUAAUACGGAGGAUUCGUGCGUUGUCCGGUUUUUUUGGGUUUAAAGGGUGCGUUGGUGGUUAAUCCAGGCAGAUGUGAAAGUUUGUGGCGCAAACAUAAAAUUGCCGUUGAAACUGGUGGACUUGAGUAGAUGUGAGGUAGGCGGAAUGCGUGGUGUAGCGGUGAAAUGCAUAGAUAUCACGCAGAACUCCGAUUGCGAAGGCAGCAUGCCAAGGCAUGACUGACGCUGAUGCACGAAAGCGUGGGGAUCAAACAGGAUUAGAUACCCUGGUAGUC